This 675-nucleotide ribosomal RNA is filed under the name uncultured bacterium. RNAcentral describes it as "bacterial SSU rRNA". It matches the Rfam family "Bacterial small subunit ribosomal RNA", at positions 94 to 803 of the family's 1533-position model. The record is from RNAcentral.
AGUGGCGAACGGGUGAGUAACGCGUGGGAAUCUGCCCUGGAGUGGGGAACAACAGUUGGAAACGACUGCUAAUACCGCAUACGCCCUGAGGGGGAAAGGCUUCGGCCGCUCUUGGAUGAUCCCGCGUCUGAUUAGCUUGUUGGUGGGGUAACGGCCUACCAAGGCGACGAUCAGUAGCUGGUCUGAGAGGAUGAUCAGCCACACUGGGACUGAGACACGGCCCAGACUCCUACGGGAGGCAGCAGUGGGGAAUAUUGGACAAUGGGGGAAACCCUGAUCCAGCAAUGCCGCGUGAGUGAAGAAGGCCUUAGGGUUGUAAAACUCUUUCGCCGGUGAAGAUGAUGACUGUAGCCGGUAAAGAAGCCCCGGCUAACUCCGUGCCAGCAGCCGCGGUAAUACGGAGGGGGCUAGCGUUGUUCGGAUUUACUGGGCGUAAAGCGCACGUAGGCGGCAUAUUAAGUUAGAGGUGAAAGGCCUGGGCUCAACCUAGGAACUGCCUUUAAUACUGAUAUGCUUGAGUUCGGAAGAGGGUAGUGGAAUUCCAAGUGUAGAGGUGAAAUUCGUAGAUAUUUGGAAGAACACCGGUGGCGAAAGCGGCUACCUGGUCCGAUACUGACGCUGAGGUGCGAAAGCGUGGGGAGCGACAGGAUUAGAUACCCUGGUAGUUCACGUGUA